UACGUAGGGGGGCAAGCGUUGUCCGGAAUCAUUGGGCGUAAAGCGCGCGUAGGCGGCUCGAUCAGUCUGCUGUGAAAGUCAAAAGGCUCAACCUUUUGAAUGCCGGUGGAUACUGUCGAGCUAGAGUCCGGAAGAGGCGAGUGGAAUUCCUGGUGUAGCGGUGGAAUGCGCAGAUAUCAGGAGGAACACCAACGGCGAAGGCAGCUCGCUGGGACGGUACUGACGCUAAGGCGCGAAAGCGUGGGGAGCGAACAGG
RNAcentral lists this ribosomal RNA (256 nucleotides) under uncultured bacterium. RNAcentral describes it as "partial 16S ribosomal RNA". It matches the Rfam family "Bacterial small subunit ribosomal RNA", at positions 524 to 776 of the family's 1533-position model. The record is from RNAcentral.